AUAUAGUAACGGUUUUCAAUUUGCUUGAAAUUAAAAGGGAAUCAGGUGAGAAUCCUGAGCAACCGCCAUUACCGUAUCUGAAGAAGAAAAUGCAGUAUGCCAUUGGUUUUCACUGAGAAGGCGCAUUUUCACGGGCGUACCGCCCUAUAUCACAAGUCGGGAGACCUGCCGUAAAAAAUUA
Molecule: non-coding RNA, 181 nt
Filed under: uncultured Eubacterium sp.
Lineage: Bacteria; Bacillati; Bacillota; Clostridia; Eubacteriales; Eubacteriaceae
Source: RNAcentral